This is a non-coding RNA of Myotis brandtii (Brandt's bat), 55 nucleotides long. The record is from Rfam. Lineage: Eukaryota; Metazoa; Chordata; Mammalia; Chiroptera; Vespertilionidae.
UGAGGCCCCUCACUCACUGUCGAAGAUCCCCGAUGGACGAGGGGUGGCAGGGAUC